CCUUGUUCAAUAUGAUGGGAUUUUUAAUUGAGACCUAAUGUUAUAGGGCCGGGAAAUUCAACACUUCUUCACGUUGUUGCUGGUAGGGAUGGAUAAGAGGAUAUACUAAAUACACUAACGAAUGAUCCUAGAAAGGUAAUAUAGUCUCUCUUUCCUUCAGUUUCAAUGUUCACAGGGAACUAUAGAAAUUUGUUCUUUCACACAUGCAUUUUCCUAGAAAACUAUUCAUUAUCAUACUGGGCUUAUGUUGUGUUUGCUUGGCCUUUACAGAAUUCUUAUUUCGUGGAGUUAAUAUUAGCAUAGUGAAUUUGGACACUCACAGCUUAACUGGUCAAAUUGGAGCUCAAGUGCAGAUUGUGGCAGAUAGGGGUGGGCGUGGGUCGGUUCGGUUUGGUUCUCUUUAGAAUCGAACCGAACCAAAAUUUUCGGGUAUCUAGUAAAUGGAACCGUCGGGUCCAAAUAUAAUUAUGGAACUGUUCGGGUUUGGUUCCGUUCGAUUCUGUACUAUAAUUAAUUUUUUUAAUAUUUAUAACAACAUUAUAUAAAUACAACUAAUGAUACAUUCAAUGAUUUUGGAAUGUUAGAUACUAGUAAACUAUCUUGUUCAAAUGAUCGCUACGGUCAAAGUUUCGGUCGACGGAGGUCACAACUUCGAUCGGAGGUCACAGUGUCGACCGACGAUUAUAUUGAUUUUGGAAUAUUAGCGAGGCUGCGAGAGUGAGUACGAGAGUCGAGACAACGUUAUGCACUUUAGUGUAAGUGUUUAGGGUUAUUUAGUAGAUUGGAUCUUGUUGGGCUAAGAAAUGAAACAAUAACAUGGGUAAUUGGGUCAAAAAUUAAAAAAUUAGAAAUGAAAUAAAUUAUUGGGUCAAAAAUUUGGAUUUAGAAAUUGUUAAUUUAUUUAGUAAAAAUUAAAAUUAAAAUAAUUUGAUUUACUCAAUAUAAAAAAAAAUUAGAAAGAUUCGGUUCUUAUUCGGUUCUUGGUUUAGAACCGAGAAUCGAACCGUACCCGUCGGUUCUCAAUUCAGAUACCCGUUCGGGUAUUUAAUUUGACAAAAACCGUCGGGUUCGGUUCGAUUCGAUUUCGGUUCGAUUCGAUCGAUUCGAUUCGGGAGAUUUGCCCAGUCCUAGUGCAGAUGAUAUCUUGAUCAUCAAUCUUAAGGUAUAUAGCUUUCUGAAUGCAUAAUCUCUGCCACUCUUGAAAUUUUGUUUAUUGCCCUGUACACCAUAUGCUAUUUUCCAACUUCUCAUUCAAUUGAUUGAAGAGCCGGGACACUAUGAAUCAUUUUGCUGCUAUGAUGAGUUUACUGUUCAUUUGUGCACCCUUGUUUUCAAUCUGGUGCUCCAUCUUCUUCGCACAUCUUCACUUUCCCUUUGUCAUCUUCUCUAUUUUGAUUAAUUUCCAAAAACAAAAUCACAACCUCAAAAUCAGUUUCUCAUUCUUCUUCAGCUGGUGGGUUGCAGGUACUUCUAUUCUACAACUUUUUUCUAUUCUCAAUCAAAAUUCAAAAUUUUAAUUUUAGCAAAUCGCUCAAUUUAUUUCUGUAAUUUAUGUUUCUUGCUUUUAGUAUUUACUAUUAUUUAUACAAUCUCUAUUUAAUCGAUAAUUAUUUUGUACUGGUAAAAUGGUCUCCAUUUUGGGUUCCUUUUACCAUCCACUCUCUGCCCUUGAAACACCACACACAUUUUAAAACUUGCUCUUAUAAUAGAUUUGGGUUAUGCCCAGUUUAAUUUUCUGCUUUCUUUGUGGUAAUCAAUGGAAUCUUGAGAAGAUAUUGAAGAAGGAAAGAGACCCAG
RNAcentral lists this long non-coding RNA (1797 nucleotides) under Olea europaea (common olive). Its description in RNAcentral is "long non-coding RNA (OEUR_LNC006892)". The record is from RNAcentral. Lineage: Eukaryota; Viridiplantae; Streptophyta; Magnoliopsida; Lamiales; Oleaceae.